This is a non-coding RNA of Malus domestica (apple), 969 nucleotides long. Lineage: Eukaryota; Viridiplantae; Streptophyta; Magnoliopsida; Rosales; Rosaceae. The record is from RefSeq and is a predicted model, not a curated record.
GACACAAAUCGGAUUGAGGUAUAAAUGUUUCCACUUAUUUAGUGUGCUCAAUUGAUUAUUGCUUUGAAUGCAUUGUGGUUCGGAACAUGAUAUAGUGCAUUACACUGAUUUAGUACAUAUUUGAUUGACAGUGAGAGAUAUAUGUUUUGGAAUCAGGCAGAAUCCCUUUAACCACGGAGACUAUUUUUGACAAGUGAAUGAAAAGGGAAAUAGUUAUUGGGAAAAGAAUUGCCACCAAAUUUUGGGACUGAGAAAGCUAUUCGUGCCAAGUAUGAGGAAAGACUGGGUUGCGAAGAAUGCAAAACAACCAGCUCCUAAACCAGUAGAUAUGAGCAUCAGUUCCAAUAGUUUGGUAAAGGAUAGAGCCACAUGUGGAGCUCCAAAGGAAACAAGGAGACAUUCUCUUGAGGAAGCGAUGCUUUUUACGGUGGCGGAAGCUGCUCCUCCAGUGGCAAGAUCCCGUGGGGUAGAUUUUAACUAGAUCUCUCAUUCACAGUUGCAAAAUAAUGGUCAGUUGGUGCGACGAUAUUGACUUCACUAAUGGACAUGAAAAUGAGACAUGGUAUAGUAAAGAUUUACUUUUCAGCAUCUGACAACACUGAUAUAGCAUUUGGUGUAUACUUUGCUUUUGAAUCCCAAUCGGAAUUAUGCCCCUCUCAGUACUGAGGAUCCUGGAAAUUCCAGUCGGGUUGCACUUACUCUUGGUCUACCCCCAACAUUGGUCUUUAAAUGUGGAAGAGGAAGCGCGUCCAUCCCACCCACCAAAAAAUGGUUAGAGCCUUAGAGGUGAAUGGUGUUCUUUUCUUUAGACAAGUUUUUGGAAACAAUAUUAUUUGAAUUUUUUAUAUUUUAACAAGCAAGUGAAGUCAAGUCUUAGUGAUUUUGAUGCAUAUUUUAUUAGUGAUUUUGAUGCCACCAACCUUAUCUCAGUGUAUCACUUUUGACAUUUUAUUCAGCUUCCUUUGGUAA